Molecule: ribosomal RNA, 328 nt
Filed under: uncultured eukaryote
Lineage: Eukaryota
Description: partial 18S ribosomal RNA
Rfam family: Eukaryotic small subunit ribosomal RNA
Source: RNAcentral
CCCUUAGAUGUUCUGGGCCGCACGCGCGCUACACUGACUGGUGCAACAAGUGUCGCUCCUUGGCCGAUAGGCCUGGGCAAUCUUUGAACGCCAGUCGUGAUGGGGAUAGAUUCUUGCAAUUUUUGAUCUUCAACGAGGAAUUCCUAGUAAACGCGAGUCAUCAACUCGCAUUGAUUACGUCCCUGCCCUUUGUACACACCGCCCGUCGCACCUACCGAUUGAAUGGUCCGGUGAAAUCUUCGGAUCUGAGAGAUGUCUGAUUAAUUUCGGACGCCUUUUGGAAAAGUUGCUUAAACCUUACCAUUUAGAGGAAGGUGAAGUCGUAACA